RNAcentral lists this ribosomal RNA (766 nucleotides) under Actinomycetes bacterium. RNAcentral describes it as "Actinobacteria bacterium (groundwater metagenome) partial 23S ribosomal RNA". It matches the Rfam family "Bacterial large subunit ribosomal RNA", at positions 2161 to 2925 of the family's 2925-position model. The record is from RNAcentral. Lineage: Bacteria; Bacillati; Actinomycetota; Actinomycetes.
AGCAGCGGCGCUAGCCGUUGUGGAGUCAACCUUGAAAUACCACCCUUGAUAUGUUGAGCUUCUAACCUCGGUCCGUUAUCCGGAUCAGGAACAGUGCCUGGCGGGCAGUUUCACUGGGGUGGUGGCCUCCCAAAAUGUAACGGAGGCGCCCAAAGGUUCCCUCAGUCUGGUCGGCAAUCAGACGUUGAGUGCAAGGGCAAAAGGGAGCUUGACUGCGAGACUUACAAGUCGAGCAGGUGCGAAAGCAGGGCCUAGUGAUCCUACGGCGGCACGUGGAAGCGCCGUGGCUCAUCGGCUAAAAGGUACCCCGGGGAUAACAGGCUUAUCUUGCCCAAGAGUCCAUAUCGACGGCAAGGGUUGGCACCUCGAUGUCGGCUCGUCGCAUCCUGGGGCUGGAGCAGGUCCCAAGGGUCGGGCUGUUCGCCCGUUAAAGCGGCACGCGAGCUGGGUUUAGAACGUCGUGAGACAGUUCGGUCCCUAUCCGUCGCAGGCGCAGGAGUUCUGAGGAGAGCUGUCCCUAGUACGAGAGGACCGGGAUGGACGAACCUCUAGUGUGCCAGUUGUCCUGCCAAGGGCAUGGCUGGUUGGCUACGUUCGGAACGGAUAAGCGCUGAAGGCAUCUAAGUGCGAAGCCGCCUCCAAGAUGAGAACUCCCACCGAUUUAUCGGGUAAGACCCCUGGCAGAACACCAGGUAGAUAGGCCGGAAGUGGACACGUAGCAAUGCGUGCAGCUGACCGGUACUAAUCGGUCGAGGGCUUGGAUCGA